RNAcentral lists this ribosomal RNA (469 nucleotides) under uncultured bacterium. RNAcentral describes it as "partial 16S ribosomal RNA". It matches the Rfam family "Bacterial small subunit ribosomal RNA", at positions 28 to 508 of the family's 1533-position model. The record is from RNAcentral.
GACGAACGCUGGCGGCGUGCUUAACACAUGCAAGUCGAACGGAAAGGCCCUGCUUUUGUGGGGUGCUCGAGUGGCGAACGCGUGCGUAACACGAGAGUAACCUGCCCUUGUCUUUGGGAUAACUUCAGGAAACUGGGGCUACUCCCGGAUAGGAUCCCCUGCUGCAUGGUGGGGGUUGGAAAGUUUCGGCGGUGGGGGCUGGACUGGCGGCUUAUCAGCUUGUUGGUGGGGUAGUGGCUUACCCAGGCGUUGACGGGUAGCUGGCUAGUGAGGGUGAGCGGCCACAUUGGGACUGAGAUGCGGCCCAGACUCCGACGGGAGGCAGAAGUGGGGAAUAUUGCACAAGGGGCGGAAGCCUGAUGCAGAAACGCCGCGGGCGGGAUGACGGCCUUCGGGUUGAAAAACGCUUGCGCGUGUGACGAAGCGUGAGUGACGGUAAUGGGUAAAGAAGCACCGGCUAACUACGUGC